UGAAAGCCAUUUAAAGGUCAACUUGACACAAGACUAGAGACACUAGCCCAGCAGCUUAACGAUUGCAGAAAAAAUUAAAGGAAAACCACAGGAAUGAUGAGGACCAUUUUCGUUUGGAGCUGCCUCCUGGCUGUACUUAUCGAGCCCUGCAUGUCGGACAUGUACAUGCAUUUUCCACACGGAUCCAACAAUCGUUUGAAUGGCAACCAAGAUAACGUCAAGAACGCAAACAGAUUGUUUGAUUCACAGGUAGGACCGGCCUUUACAUUUACGCUUUUUUUCCAAUUGAUCAGGGCUUCCGUACCUAAUCUCAAAGUUGGUGAAGUUAGAAGUCAAAUCAGAACAUGCAUCUCCACUCUGACUGAUGGCACACCAAGAAAGUGUUACUAGCACCCCAAAUAGAUUCAUAUCUGCAACAACAACAACAACAAUCUUUAUUUCGUGCCCAGAAAAAAUUUACAAUAAAAAUAAAUGCAUGCAAUGUGAAAAAAUAACAAUGAAAAACAGAGCACAGCCACUUAGAAAUAGCUAAGGCUAAUCGAGCUAAG
Orbicella faveolata is the source of this 548-nucleotide long non-coding RNA. The record is from RefSeq and is a predicted model, not a curated record. Lineage: Eukaryota; Metazoa; Cnidaria; Anthozoa; Scleractinia; Merulinidae.